AAAAAGGAAGACAAAUCUAAGAAUAUCUUCUUAAAUAUCUUCAUUUCCUGAAUCCUUUAUGUCCGUUCCACCUGUCACAAAAGUCCUGAAUGGUUGAGAGCUAAAGAGGCCCGUGGCAAUAGGAUGCAUGAAUGAGAUCGGAUUGGACGGUCAAAACCUGACCCGUUUCUCUGGGGCAGGCAUGUUUUCAUAUCACACCCCAUGCCAUGAAAGCGAUGACCAGAUGAAAGG
This is a long non-coding RNA of Sinocyclocheilus anshuiensis, 231 nucleotides long. RefSeq lists it as uncharacterized. Lineage: Eukaryota; Metazoa; Chordata; Actinopteri; Cypriniformes; Cyprinidae. The transcript is spliced from 3 exons. The record is from RefSeq and is a predicted model, not a curated record.